This 241-nucleotide ribosomal RNA is filed under the name uncultured bacterium. Its description in RNAcentral is "partial 16S ribosomal RNA". It matches the Rfam family "Bacterial small subunit ribosomal RNA", at positions 536 to 776 of the family's 1533-position model. The record is from RNAcentral.
GAGCGUUGUCCGGAAUCACUGGGCGUAAAGGGCGCGUAGGCGGCGCGGAUAGUCGGCGGUGAAAGCCCGGAGCUCAACUCCGGGUCGGCCGUCGAUACUUCCGGGCUUGAGCACUGUAGAGGCAGAUGGAAUUCCGGGUGUAGCGGUGGAAUGCGUAGAGAUCCGGAAGAACACCGGUGGCGAAGGCGGUCUGCUGGGCAGUUGCUGACGCUGAUGCGCGACAGCGUGGGGAGCAAACAGG